This 454-nucleotide ribosomal RNA is filed under the name uncultured bacterium. Its description in RNAcentral is "bacterial SSU rRNA". It matches the Rfam family "Bacterial small subunit ribosomal RNA", at positions 340 to 786 of the family's 1533-position model. The record is from RNAcentral.
UACGGGAGGCAGUAGUGGGGAAUAUUGCACAAUGGGCGCAAGCCUGAUGCAGCCAUGCCGCGUGUAUGAAGAAGGCCUUCGGGUUGUAAAGUACUUUCAGUCGUGAGGAAGGUGUUAAGGUUAAUAACCUUAGCAAUUGACGUUAGCGACAGAAGAAGCACCGGCUAACUCCGUGCCAGCAGCCGCGGUAAUACGGAGGGUGCGAGCGUUAAUCGGAAUUACUGGGCGUAAAGGGCACGCAGGCGGUUAAUUAAGUUGGAUGUGAAAUCCCCGGGCUUAACCUGGGAAUGGCAUUCAAGACUGGUUAGCUAGAGUCUUGUAGAGGGGGUAGAAUUCCAUGUGUAGCGGUGAAAUGCGUAGAGAUGUGGAGGAAUACCGGUGGCGAAGGCGGCCCCUGGACAAAGACUGACGCUCAUGUGCGAAAGCGUGGGGAGCGAAACAGGGAUUAGAUACC